AACGCCAAGAACCUUACCAAGGCUUGACAUGAACCGGAAAGGCGUAGAAAUACGUCCCCCACUUGUGGUCGGUUUACAGGUGGUGCAUGGUUGUCGUCAGCUCGUGUCGUGAGAUGUUGGGUUAAGUCCCGCAACGAGCGUAACCCUCGUUCUAUGUUGCCAGCACGUGAUGGUGGGGACUCAUAGGAGACUGCCGGGGUCAACUCGGAGGAAGGUGGGGAUGACGUCAAAUCAUCAUGCCCCUUAUGUCUUGGGCUUCACGCAUGCUACAGUGGCCGGUACAAAGGGUUGCGAUACUGUGAGGUGGAGCUAAUCCCAAAAAGCCGGUCUCAGUUCGGAUUGGGGUCUGCAACUCGACCCCAUGAAGUCGGAGUCGCUAGUAAUCGCAGAUCAGCAACGCUGCGGUGAAUACGUUCCCGGGCCUUGACACACCG
Molecule: ribosomal RNA, 434 nt
Filed under: uncultured bacterium
Lineage: Bacteria
Description: bacterial SSU rRNA
Rfam family: Bacterial small subunit ribosomal RNA
Source: RNAcentral